GUGCUUGCUUUGGCAGCACAUAUACUAAAAUUGGAAAGACACAGAGAAGAUUAGCAUGGUCCCUGCGCUAGGAUGACAUGCAAAUUCAUGAAGCGUUCCAUAAAAAA
RNAcentral lists this small nuclear RNA (107 nucleotides) under Propithecus coquereli (Coquerel's sifaka). Lineage: Eukaryota; Metazoa; Chordata; Mammalia; Primates; Indriidae. The record is from RNAcentral.